RNAcentral lists this long non-coding RNA (440 nucleotides) under Musa acuminata (dwarf banana). Its description in RNAcentral is "long non-coding RNA (MACU_LNC001456)". The record is from RNAcentral. Lineage: Eukaryota; Viridiplantae; Streptophyta; Magnoliopsida; Zingiberales; Musaceae.
CGCCCACGAACUUGUUGAUGACGAGAGAGGACCGGUGUACCUUCAUGGCGCCGUUCUGUUGCUGGGGCUGCGUGCUUACCUUCACCUCGACGAUCGUUCCCCUGUCCACCACUUCCACUUCCUCUUCUUCUUCCUCUUCCUCGUAUCGGUUAGUUUCCUCUAAUUCUUCUUCUUCCUCCUCCUCCUCCUCCUCCAAUUGUGUUAUUUCCGUCGUGUCGUUCCCUACAGUAUCUUCGUUAUCUUGCUCGACGUCUUCUGGCAUUUGUGGUUGUGUAAUUUCAGUGGCAUCGGAUGCGUGACCAGGUUUGUCUCCGGAGGUGGUGUCGGUCAAGGACAGGACGAGUCGGCCGUCCACGCGCUGAGCGUGAAAGUAGUUCUUUGAAGGGACGGCGACGGCUUCCAUGACGAGGCGCCCGUCUAGGCGGUGAGGCCUCAUGUGG